RNAcentral lists this transfer RNA (74 nucleotides) under Gemmatimonadota bacterium. Its description in RNAcentral is "Gemmatimonadetes bacterium (bioreactor metagenome) tRNA-Trp". It matches the Rfam family "tRNA". From Rfam's summary of the family: Transfer RNA (tRNA) molecules are approximately 80 nucleotides in length. Lineage: Bacteria; Pseudomonadati; Gemmatimonadota. The record is from RNAcentral.
GGGUUCCGAAGCUCAGAGGGCAGAGCGCCGAGCUCCAGACUCGGAGGCUGUGGGUUCGAUCCCCACCGAGCCCG